Molecule: ribosomal RNA, 465 nt
Filed under: uncultured Klebsiella sp.
Lineage: Bacteria; Pseudomonadati; Pseudomonadota; Gammaproteobacteria; Enterobacterales; Enterobacteriaceae
Description: bacterial SSU rRNA
Rfam family: Bacterial small subunit ribosomal RNA
Source: RNAcentral
CCUACGGGCGGCUGCAGUGGGGAAUAUUGCACAAUGGGCGCAAGCCUGAUGCAGCCAUGCCGCGUGUGUGAAGAAGGCCUUCGGGUUGUAAAGCACUUUCAGCGGGGAGGAAGGCGGUGAGGUUAAUAACCUCAUCGAUUGACGUUACCCGCAGAAGAAGCACCGGCUAACUCCGUGCCAGCAGCCGCGGUAAUACGGAGGGUGCAAGCGUUAAUCGGAAUUACUGGGCGUAAAGCGCACGCAGGCGGUCUGUCAAGUCGGAUGUGAAAUCCCCGGGCUCAACCUGGGAACUGCAUUCGAAACUGGCAGGCUAGAGUCUUGUAGAGGGGGGUAGAAUUCCAGGUGUAGCGGUGAAAUGCGUAGCGAUCUGGAGGAAUACCGGUGGCGAAGGCGGCCCCCUGGACAAAGACUGACGCUCAGGUGCGAAAGCGUGGGGAGCAAACAGGAUUAGAUACCCUUGUAGUC